This 228-nucleotide long non-coding RNA is filed under the name Homarus americanus (American lobster). Its description in RNAcentral is "uncharacterized LOC121856235, transcript variant X1". The record is from RNAcentral. Lineage: Eukaryota; Metazoa; Arthropoda; Malacostraca; Decapoda; Nephropidae.
UGAGGCGUCACUUGGUGCCGUCAACCAGUGGUGAACUUGGCCCGUGGCGAGUGAAAAUGAGCACCAAGCCCGAAAUGAAUCGCCGCAUUGCAGCGGUCGCUAAGAAGAAACGGGCAAAAAAGCCGAAAAACAACAGGCCCCAGGCAAGCAAGGCUCGAGAGGGCAAUGACAACAACUCUGCUAGGGGAAGGCAUGGAACAUCCAGGCAGACGGCAAAGAAUGGAAGGU